This 253-nucleotide ribosomal RNA is filed under the name uncultured bacterium. RNAcentral's name for it is "partial 16S ribosomal RNA". It matches the Rfam family "Bacterial small subunit ribosomal RNA", at positions 524 to 776 of the family's 1533-position model. The record is from RNAcentral.
UACAGAGGGGGCUAGCGUUGUUCGGAAUUACUGGGCGUAAAGGGCGCGUAGGCGGCCCUCUAAGUCGAACGUGAAAUCCCCGGGCUCAACCCUGGGAUGCCGGUGGAUACUGUCGGGCUCGAGUCCGGAAGAGGAGUGUGGAAUUCCUGGUGUAGCGGUGAAAUGCGCAGAUAUCAGGAGGAACACCAAUGGCGAAGGCAGCACUCUGGGACGUGACUGACGCUGAGACGCGAAAGCGUGGGGAGCAAACAGG